UCGCCUGGUCGAUCGCUCCCCUGAUGGAGUC
RNAcentral lists this small RNA (31 nucleotides) under Bombyx mori (domestic silkworm). RNAcentral describes it as "ovarian small RNA-28747". Lineage: Eukaryota; Metazoa; Arthropoda; Insecta; Lepidoptera; Bombycidae. The record is from RNAcentral.